This 10394-nucleotide long non-coding RNA is filed under the name Citrus maxima (pomelo). RNAcentral describes it as "long non-coding RNA (CMAX_LNC002008)". The record is from RNAcentral. Lineage: Eukaryota; Viridiplantae; Streptophyta; Magnoliopsida; Sapindales; Rutaceae.
GCGAACCAGAAAGUUCUGCUCCUCCUUGUCUACCGUGCACGCUAUCCAUAAUGACAUCUCACGAAUCAUAUCGUGCAUCUUUACAUGAUCAUCGCCUUCUUCCUCCAAUAAGCAUGCAUGAAGAAGGUCAUCAAUAAAAUCGCAUCCACCAUCAAAAUCAUAUACAAAUCCUUCACUAAUCCAAUAAUCAAUCAAAUCCCUUUUAGGAAUUUCGUAGUCUUCAGGAUAUAAACAACAAUACAGGAGACAGGAACGAAGUUCGUCCGUAGACAAACUAUCAUAGCUGAACUUUAAACGCGAAAACACCUCUUCUUUCAUACCUGAGAAUUUAGAAGCUGAUGUUCUCAUUUUGUGAAUUGCACGUUUCCAAUCUCCAACUUUCCUUUGGCUUUUCAUGGCUCGACCCACUGUUUUAAGCGCUAGCGGCAACCCACCACACUCUCUUGCCAAGGUUUCGGCUAGCUCUGGAAUACCGGUAUGACUGUCCAGAGUGGAUCUGUCGACCAUCUCCUGAAAUAAUUCCCAGGCUUUAUCAUGCGCCAAACUAUACACUUCCACCUUUUCAGCGUCCAUUUGAUCGCAAACACCAGCUGAACGAGUUGUCAAGACUACUUUGGACCCAUCAUUUAGUUUUUGAAGAGGGACACCCAAUUCUGUUAAAUGAAUGGGUUUCCAUAUAUCAUCCAAUAACAACACAAACUUCCUUCUGCUUAAAAUGCUAGCGAUGUCCACAGCCUUGUCUUGAGGACUUUUUUUCGCCCAGCUUUGGUCUUCUGAAAAGCCAAUCCUUUUUCCAAUGUCAUCUUGAAGUGUUGACGCAGCCGCCCAGAUAACAACAUCAAAAUUAUGCUGUUGAUGGCAGAAGUUGUUGUUGACUUGUUUUAAAAGGGUAGUUUUGCCGACUCCCCCUAUACCAUACAAGCCGAUAAUUCCCCUGUUAUUUUCCUCAUCAGUGAUACAUCUCCAAACUCGAUCAAGUAAUAAUUCUUGACCAACAACUGUGUGCUCAACAGGUAAUUCAAUUGCUGCACCAUCCGGCGCCUUCUCAACAACCACUUCAAUUUUUUCUCCGUCUUUCUUUAAAUUGAUCACUCGAUCCGUCAACUCGACCACCUGAGUCCCGUAAUUGUAGCUUGAAACGAAGUUUUUGGAACAGAGGCCUCCAAGGCACAAUCUAUCGAUUUCAUGAGCUCUAACUCGUUCCAGCUCGGUAAAUUCAGUUUCCAGUUUUUGCACAUCUUCAAGCCACCCUGCGACCUGGUUCGUUCGUCUGGUUCGAGGUCGUUGUUCUUCGACCUCAACCUUGGUCUUCAGAUCGUCCCUUGCUCGAGUCAAUUUGUGCAAUUCAGUCUCCAAGACCCGAAGGUUUUUUUCGAGACCCCAUACAUAAUUUGCUUGUUCACCAACGCAGUUUGAAGUUCGAUCAAAUAAGUCUGCUGGUAAGAAGGUUGAGAUUAGGUUACCCAUUGUCGUUGACGAAAAGAGGAAGAGAAGCAACGAGUACAAUGAAAAGAAUUAAGCUAAUUUUUACUUAAAUUCUUAAGAAUUGCUGUCAAAUGCAAACAGAGUAUGAGAAUCAGGUCUUUAUUGAUUAUGAUGACUUGAAUGAAAAUGAAAUACAGAGCUUUGCUAGUUUACAUACAGAGACAAAAAAUAAUGACAGCUAGCCUAAGGGGUAUUACACGGAAGUAAUCAAAAUUGAUCCGUGAAUAUAGCAAUUGUGAACCAAUCACAUUAAGCUUCUAGAAGAUGCAACUAUUCAAUGCACAUGCGCUGCUAUUCUUCAACAUAACAGUUUUGCCAGCUCAACAAAUCCAACUCACAGAAUCAAGGUCAACCGUUGACUCUUCACAGCUGCUGCUUUCAACAAUUUUUAGAGAACCACAACACCAAAAUAAAAAUAUGAUACAUUUGUUGCUUUAUUCAUUAUGUCAAAUAUCAAGAAUAUAAUGAUACGUUUGCACGUCAUAUAAAAUUUGUAUUUCAACCAAGUAAUCACAUAGUUAAUAUUAAAUCUUAUCAUUUGUUAUCUAAGUGAUAAAUUUAUAUUGACAAUAUAUUAUUUAGAAUAAAAAUUUUCUACCUUAGGUUUGGAUGAAGAUCCAAAAUAUUAAGUCAAUGAUAGAUAGAUAAAAAAUAAAAUAAAAUAAAUUUUAACAUUAAUUUUUUAUUUAAUAAAAAGUAAAUUCAAUACAGAAUUCUAAUCCCUUAAUCUCUCUCCAUCCACGGCAAAAGAAAGCAGCAACUCAACUCUCUUUAAAGGCUAUGGAGGUUCUCUUGCGACCUCUCUUCAGCAUACCCUCCAGAACAUUAACCCCACCACCGCCAUCACCACCCUGUUAAACACGUUUUCAAAACGUGUAUAAUGUGGCCAUCUAAUUUAUUUUUAAUUAUUAGUUUUCUAAUUUAAAUUGAUAUUUAUCUUUAUUUAGUUUACUUUUAAAACGUUGGGUUUGGUUUAAAAUUUGAAUAAAGAUAAAACAUCUCUUCCUAAUAUCUCUCAUACACGUUACGGGUGGUUUACUAAAAUCAAGGGGAUAACGGCUCAUAACUUCCUCUUUUAUUUAAACUUGUCAUCUUGAUGGGAGAUGUUUUACGGUCACGUUUUUUCAAGAAAAAUAUUGAGGGUCCCUGGUCUAACAACAGAGCCUGUGUAUACCAUCUACUCUCAGGAAUUAAGUGUUGGAUAGACUAGAAAAUUCUGAGUACAAAGCAUGGCUUGUUUUCGUUGGUUUUGUUUGCAUUCCAGUAGAAAGGUUGUGUACAAUUGAAUUUGAUAACUAUGGCAGGAGGUAAGUUUUCUAACUUGUGCAUGAUGAAUAUAGUCUUUUACACCCCACCAAUCAUCUCACUCUCAAAACUCUCCAUUUUUGCCUCCAUUAAUUCCCACUCUCUCCAAAACCCUGAUUUCUUCCUCUUCUCGUUUCCUCUCGCCCGCCCCUGGUACGCCAAUUUCCAUUCUCUCGCUCUUUUUUUUGGCAAUUUUGGCUUGAGUUUUUUGGGUUUUUGGUAAUUUAUCUUUAAUUUUUGUGGGUAUCCUUCGUUUUUUUAGUUAUCAUACAUGAGUUGAGUAGUCGUAGACGAUUUUUUAUUGUUUUAAACUGAACGGAUUCUUUGUAUUUCGAAAAUGAAAUUCAUUGUUUGUGAAGUAACUUUUAAAGCUGUUGAGUUGAGUUUGAAAACUUAAUGUGCUUAAAUUUAUCUAUGUGGAUUUGAAUCAGUUAGACAAGCAGCACAGGAGAGCCAAUCGAGCGCGGAGGUGAAUGCCGAUAGAAGAGAAUGGUUUAUGCAAGGUACAUUAAUAGUAAUUUGAUCUGAUGCCAAUUUUAUUUCUAUAUUAAUUUAUUAGAUUAUGUAAUGUUAUAAAUUCUUUGUUCAAAAUGUAGAGCUUGGAAAUUUAGUCGGUACAUUAUGGUAAUGAAUGUAGCUUGUGUAUCUGUUCAAAUUUAUGUCUAGCUUUGCUGUUUUGGUAAUGGUUUGUUUAGUAUAAAUUUUGUGUUGGUUAUGAUGUUGUUUAGUGGUUUGGAUCACUCGUGCUCUUUUGGCCCCCACUAAAAUUAAUUUUUCAUCAAAGGAUAUGAAUAGUUGUUCGAUGGAAACUUAAUGGAAGAUGUGGGAGCAUCUUUAUGAGUUAAGAUUCCCUGUAGCGAGUAUAUCCUUUGGUGCAUGAGAGUUUAAGUGAUUAUCGUCAUUGUUGAGUUAAACAAUGGGAUUAAUUUUCAUGUUCAUGUAAGGUGAUCAUCGCUAAAGUUAGAGCCAUUAGGUGAUAAAUUGAUACUUCAUUGUGUUGUUAUGUUUGUUAUACUGGAUAAAAAUCCCAGUGAUAGAAUUCAUGUUAGGCGGUUUUGGGUCCUAUUCAAUCCCAAAAGAUGAAUAAGGGGUGAGGCUUUCCCUCACAAUUGUAAAAUCACCACCAUCCUAGUUCACAACCGAUAUAAGACAACCCAACAAUCUCUCCCGCACAUAUUGGGCCUUGGUUCAAAAGCAUGGACACUCGUUUUCACUAGUAGGCUGUUGGACUGAGAUGUUGGUGAAUCUUUUAGUUGAUUUUUUUUUUUUUAUAAAAAGGAAAAGAUUAUGAAGAGAUAAAUACAAUAAAGAAAAAAAGAGAUCAAUAUUGCAAUAAAACAUUUAUGUAGUGAUAUUUUAUAUAAGAAUAAUUUCAUAUAGCUAUAAAAGUAAUGGUCCUAAUUUAUAUUAGGCCAAUUAUAAAUAAGAAUAAAUUUCAUGCUGUAAUAAUUUAUAAUUUUGCUAAAUCUCACCUUAAGGAGCUCACCUCCACGUAGUGUAAAUAUAUAUAUAGAAAAAAAAAAUAUGUUAUAUUACAUUAAGUGAACUUGGGGGUUGUUUGGUACCCCUCUUUACCUGGGAUUGCAUUGUGUUAGCAAUGCAACCCCAUGUUUGGGGUACCAAAUGGCUAUAUUAGCUAAACUCGACAUAUAGUCGGGUUUAGCUAAUGCGUCCAGUUACCGCAUUAGCUUUAGCUUCCUCUUUUUUUUUUUUUUUAUACUUUGUAAUAAUGAUAAAUGAAUAUAAUUUUUAAUUUAAUAUUAUAUAAUAUUAUUUUUACUUUAUAAUUUUAAUAUAAAUUAAUAAAUUUAUUGUUUAAUAAUAUUAUAUUAUAUUUUAAUUUUUAUCAUAGUAAAUGUACAACUAAAAAAUGUAUUAUUUAAUUAUAUUACAUUAAUUAAUAUGUAAAAUUAUAUUAAUUAAUAUAUAUAAUUGAUUAAUUUUUAAUAAGUUAAUAUAACUAAUAAUAAAUACUUAAAUAAUAUAAUAUAAUAUAAUAUUAUUUAAUUUAUUAAAAUAAUUAAACUAGUUAUUUUUAAAUAAUUUAAUAUAACUAAUAAUAAAUAUUUAAAUAUGAAUAAAUUUGAAUAAUAUUAAUUAAAAAUUAAUAAAAUAUAUAAUUAUUAGAUUGUUUAGCACAAUUCAUUUUUUAGCACAAUUCAUUAGUAUUUUCUAAAUAUAUAAUUUAAAUUAGUCACAAAAAAUUAAUACAAUAUAGUGCAAUAUCAAAUAUAAUAUAAUUAAAAAUUAAAUAUAAUACAGUAUAGUACCAAACAUUAUACAACAUUAUUAUAAUACAUUACUAAUACAACACAACAUAAUGCAAUACACCUGCAUUAAAAUAAUGCAAUACAAUAUAAUAUAAUACAGCGUGCCAAACGCACUCUUGUAUCCAUAUAGUACAAAAACAACAUAAGAGAAAAAUGUUAAAGAGAACACAAAAGUUCAGAGACUUUUAAGAUAAUGUUUUAUAUUUGUAACAAGCAUGUGCUAACUUUUUUGAAACCAUGUAUAUUUAUUUUUUCCCUAAGUUACAUGCAUGUAACUUAGCAUUAGCCUCAUUUUAUUAUUAUCUAUACAUUGGAUUUGACAUGUUUCAUUAAUAAUUUAUUACUACAUCUCUAUUAAAAUAAUUGAGGUCCUGCACUUUCAUUGGAAGAUAGGAGAAAAAAAUAAUUGAUAAGAGAAGAAAACAAUUUAAAAUAAAAUUUUAAAAUAUUUAUCAUUACUUAAAAAAAUUAAUUUUCUUUUCCUAAAGUUAUUCCACAGACGGUAGUACAAAAUUAUGUGAUCACGCACGCACACAGUGAUAGGGUAAUUAUUGAAACAAAAAUGAAAUUUGUCUGUUUUCCAUUUGAAAUCUAUUACUAAUAUAAAGGAAAAGAAAAAUCUUUAAUUACUUUUUUUUUUUUUCAUGUAGGGCAAGGCAAACAUCACUAUCUUGUUAAAUUAAUAUUUAAAAUUAUCCCACCAAAUGUAAUUAUAACAAAUUAAAUAAAUAUUUACUAUGAGUUCAGCAUCUGGGUUCCCACUCCAUAAAUAUGCCAGCAUUUUAAAACAAACAAGACUUAGAGUGUGUUUGGGAUUGAGGUGCUGUAGCUUUUAAGCUACAGCUGCUGUGAAAAAAAAACUGUAAUUAUGAAACAAAAUUUAAUAAUAUAUAGUAAAUAUAAAUUUUAAAUAAUAAUUUUGAUAAAAAUAUUAAAGAUAUAAUAAAUUUUAUAUUAUACAAGUGAAAAAUCAUAUUAACAUAGCUUAAAAGCUACAGCAGCUAGUGUUUACCAAACACUACAGCUGCCCAACCUCAAUCCCAAACGCACUCUUAAGCGACAAAUACAAUUUUGUCAAUGAGUAUAAAGGUCGCAUUAUAAGCCAAAGGAGAGCAGUUAAGGGAAGAUAAAAUAUUAUUGUAUUGAACUGGUUAUUUCUCUCUAGGGGUGGCAAAAAAGUCUGGGCUGGUCUAGGCCCGCGGGCCUAAAGCCCGGCCCGUAAGGGUGGGCCCAGAUAUUGGCCUAAAAAUUACAAAGCCCACAUAUGUGGGAUCUGGACAAGGGCUUAGCAAAAAAGCCCGGACUUGGCCCAGGCUUUUUAAAUUUAUGAAUAAAAAAUAAAUUUAAUUUAAAUAAAAAAAGAAAAAACUCAAAAUAUUAAAUUAGUUUAAUUUUUUAUAUUAGUAUUUGUUAUUUUAUUAGGUUGUAUUAUUAAUAUUUUAUGUAUUGGACUAUUAUUCUAUUUUAUAUAUUAGAUGAUUAUCUUUAAUUUAAAUUUUUUCUUAAUUUAAAAAAUAUUUUAUAAUUAAUUUAAAAAGCCCAAGCCCGGCCCAGGCCCGGCCCGAGUUCGGUCCGUCCAAAUUUAAACGGGUUUUUGAAGGGCCUGGACUUCGUUUGAAUGAUGUGGGCUUGGGCCUGGGCUUUGAAAAGCCCGGCCCAAACCCGCAAAUUGCCAUCCCUAUUUCUCUCUCUUCUAUUAUUAAUUUGUUGUUAAUUAUAACCUUUGCGGGAUUUAAAAAAAAGAAAAAGGCCCUUGCGUUUUCAUCAACAUUACACUGCCAAAUGUGAAAUGGAUUGAGAACCACAUGUCCUUAUUAUGCUGCCACUCCACAAAUGUUUAUUUUCCCCUCAUUCUCCUUAGAAGCCAGAGGCAGAGUCAGUCCUGCACCCCUUUACGUAUGCCUUCUCCAUAAAUUAACAUAAACGAUUAGUAUUAGAGCUGGCAAAAUGGGUCAUCGGGUCGUGUUUGUAUUGUGUCAGCUUCGUGUCGUGUCAAAUUUAGGUCGACCCAUACUCGACCCAUUUAAUAAUCGUGUCAAAAUAUUGAGACACAAACCCGACACGGAAAAAUAAUCAGGUUAUCCAAUAACCCGCUAUCUAUAUAUUAAACAAAAGUUACAUCAAAUAUUUACACAUUUUCAUACAUACGUAUGCGCAUACAUACAUACAUAAUUUAUUGAUAUUAUAAAAUAUACAUAUCUACUAAAAUAUUAGACACACUAUUGAGGUUUUAAUUAUAUAUGUGUAAAUAAUAUUAUAUAUCAAUAUUAUAAAAUAUAUAUGUCUACGAAUAUUUUAUACAUUUAUACUAGCUCUAAAUGUAUUUAAAAAUUCAUAAAUAAAAUAUUAUGUCUAUAUUCAUCCUUUUAAAGAAUUAAAAAAAAUCAUCUCUAAUAUUUGAGUUUUGGUGACAAGAAUUUACAAAUUAUUUUAAAAUAGAAAAUAUAAUCGGGUCAUUGAUCGGGUAAAUGGGUCAAGAAUUUUAACUCUAACCCGACACGAAAAAAAAUCGUGUUGACCCGGACCCGACCCAUUUAAUAAUCGUGUUAAAUUCAACGACUCAUACCCAUUUAUUAGUGUUGUGUUCGUAUUGGGUAAUCGGGCCGUGUCAAAUUUUGCCAUAUCUAAUUAGUAUAAGAUGAUUUAACCACACAAUAUGUCAAAUUUACAUUUUGCAAUCAUUGAUACUUGGUGCUACAGUCAAAUUUAUAUUUAUUCAAGGUAGCGGGUUCAAUAAUUAAAUUCACAUAAAAAGAAAGAUGCAUUCACCCUUAAUGGCCCAGGAGCCAACCAAAUUCCGCGUCCGCGAAGUGAGGCACUUUUCUUAAAGUUAUUUCACAGACGGAAGAACAAAAUUCUGUGAUCACGCACAAAGUGAUAGGGCAAUUAUUGAAACAUAAAUAAUGUCUAUUUCCCAUCCGAAAUCUGUUCUAAUAUAAAGGACAAGAAAAAGUUUUAAUUAUUAUUAUUAUUAUUUUUCACGUAGGGCAAGGCAAACAUCACUAUCUUGUUAAAUUAACAUUUAACAUUGUCCCACCAAAUAUAAUUAUAACCAAUUAAAUAAAUAUUUACUAUGAGUUCAGCAUCUGAGUUCCCACUCCAUAAAUAUGCCAGUAUUUUAAAACAAACAAGACUUAAGCGACAAAUACAAUUUUGUCACCGAGUGUAAAGGUCGCAUUUUAAGCCAAAGGAGAGCAGUUAAAAGGAAGAUAAAAUAUUACCGUAUUUCUCUCUCUUCUAUUAUUAGUUUGUUGUUAAUUAUAACCCUUUUCGGGAUUAAAAAAAGAAAAGAAAAAGGCCUUUGCGUUUUCUAUUAGCAUGUGUACAUGUUUAUUUUCUGUGUUAGUAGUGCAGAGUAUAUACUGAACACACUGGACAAAAAGGGUAAUUUGUAAUCAAUUUAGUUUUAUAAACAUUAAUCUCGGAAGUAGUUACUGAACUUCAUGUGGAAAAAAAAAUAAAAAAAGAUAGUCGCUGAGCAAUAAAUCUACAAGUCAUCAAAAUCGAGCAAUUCUAUGGCAAGAAUUCUUUCCAGUGGGAGGAUUCUAAAACCAAGAAUCCACUGCUGAAAUUUUAUUCACUGAAAAUAGGGAACGAUUGACACACCAGACAACAAGAACAAGAUGCAAUUAAAUCUAAUGAAAAUUAAAAAAAGAAAAAAGAAAUACAUAUUCAAACAUAUUAAUGAAAAUCAUCCCCAAGUACGACACCGGAAGAGAAAGCAUUUUGGGUGGCUUGAUCCUCCCAUUGUAGCUCUUCCCACCAUUCUUUCUCUCCCUCGAUGACAACUCGACGUUCCUUCACGCUGCUGGAAUUGACUGGGAGCUUCUUCAGCUGUGGGCAUCCACGUACUUGAAUUUUCUUCAGCUUUGGAAGGGGCAGGGGAUUCGGGUAAACGCUCUUUAAAUUUCUUCCCCACUUUAUGGUUAGAGAUUCGAGUUGUGCAAAAAAGUUAUGCUCUGACCCGAUUAUCUCCGAAAUAUCUCUCAAUUUAUCAACACUAAUUAUUUCUUCCAUUUCUGUACAAAAGACUAUACGCAGCUGCUUGAGAAUUUGAACAAAAACUAGCCACGUUAAGUCUUUCAUUUUUUUGCAACUGCUUAUGACAACUCUGUCGAGACUGCGGAAACCACUUUGAAAAAGCUUCUUCACCUCUUCUGUGCUGUCAAUCUUCAUCUCUUCCAAGUUAAUGUCUUCAAGAUCUAACUCCUGAAGAUUCUCCAUGUAUGCGAGAUGUAAGAGAUUGAACGGUGCACUUUUACAAUGGUAAACCAAUACAAAUUGAGUGAUGCUCACCAGCUUUGGAUAUUUCAAAAACUUUUGGACAGCAAGUGAACUUCCGAAGGACCAGCUUAAAACAUUUAAAUGCUUCAAACCCAGCAAUUCCUUCAUCAAAGGUUCAGCACCAUCACAUAGAACGUUACCUUCUUUCCCUUUUAUUACCGAAAGCGACCGCACCCACGCAACCUGAGUACCUCCAACUUUGAAAAGCCAGAUAUCAAUUCAUGUGGAAUUAUAGACAAAUGAAAUGCAUAGUCCAAGUUCAAAUAUCUCAGCUUCUCCAAUGCCUUCAGCUCUUGCGGCAACCCAGUUAUGUCAGUCGAUGAAAGAUCAAGAUGAUGUAAUGAAACCAAACUUGAAAUCCCUGAAGGUAGUUUACUUAGGGAAAGAUUUAUUCGUAGACUUAAUACUCUAAGAGAAGACAUCGAUUGAAAGAAGCCAUCAGUAAUCUCCUCAAUCCAAUUUCCAUCCAGAAGUAAAGUGACGAGACGUGGACACGUGGGAAUUUCCGAUAGGCUUUGAAUUCUAGUUUUCAUCAGAGAUAUCCGUUUGGCACCUUCCCAUUCUUCAACCUUUGGUGCUUCGGUCAGUUUAACUCCAGCGUGAACCAGAAAGUUCUGCUCCUCCUUGUCUACCGUGCACGCUAUCCAUAAUGACAUCUCACGAAUCAUAUCGUGCAUCUUUACAUGAUCAUCGCCUUCUUCCUCCAAUAAGCAUGCUUGAAGAAGGUCAUCAAUAAAAUCGCAUCCAUCAUCAAAAUCACACACAAAUCCUUCACUAAUCCAGUAAUCAAUCAAUUCCCUUCUAGGAAUUUCGUAGUCUUCAGGGUACAAACAACAAUACAGGAGACAGGAACGAAGUUCGUCCGUAGACAAACUAUCAUAGCUGAACUUUAAACGCGAAAACACCUCUUCUUUCAUACCUGAGCAUUUAGAAGCUGAUGUUCUCAUUUUGUGAAUUGCACGUUUCCAAUCUCCAACUUUCCUUUGGCUUUUCAUCGCUCGACCCACUGUUUUAAGCGCUAGCGGCAACCCACCACACUCUCUUGCCAAG